UACGUGGGGUGCAAGCGUUAUCCGGAUUUACUGGGCGUAAAGCGUCCGUCGGCGGCUGUUCAAGUCGCUGGUUUAAGCCUGGGGCUCAACUCCAGAACAGCCAGCGAAACUGAUCGGCUUGAGUGGGUGAGGGGUAGCUGGAAUUCUCGGUGGAGGGGUGAAAUCCGUAGAUAUCGAGAGGAACGCCAAGCGCGAAGGCAAGCUACUGGCACCAUACUGACGCUCAGGGACGAAAGCUAGGGGAGCCAAG
Molecule: ribosomal RNA, 250 nt
Filed under: uncultured bacterium
Lineage: Bacteria
Description: partial 16S ribosomal RNA
Rfam family: Bacterial small subunit ribosomal RNA
Source: RNAcentral